CCCAUUUUUCUGCCUUCCGGACAUGGUCAAUAUGUCCGUUGUCGCCUAUUCUCAAGUGUUUUCUC
Molecule: non-coding RNA, 65 nt
Organism: Caenorhabditis elegans
Lineage: Eukaryota; Metazoa; Nematoda; Chromadorea; Rhabditida; Rhabditidae
Source: Ensembl